GCCCUUAAAAUGGGAGGCGCUAUAGCGUCGUGCCUAUACCGGACCGUCGGUCGGCAGAGCGAACGUUCCGAGCCGUCGAGGCAGAGAAGGAACGCCGAGGCCCCGACGAGUAGGGGGGUCGCGACGGUGUGCGUAGAAGGAUCUGGGCGUGAGCCUGUCCGGAGCCGCCGUCGGUGCAGAUCUUGGUGGUAGUAGCAAAUACUCCAGAGGGAUCCUGGAGGACUGACGUGGAGAAGGGUUUCAUGUGAACAGUGGUUGGACAUGAGUCAGUCGAUCCUAAGCCGCAGGGGAAACCCGGCCUAGUGACAGGCGUGACUUCAUUCAAACGCCCGGGCGAGCGAGCAAUCGCAAGCCCGGGCGCUCAAAGUACGAAGCGCCUACUAGUCGAGGCGAAAGGGAAUCUGGUCCUGAUUCCAGAACCGAGCUGCGGCUACGUCCGUACGUGACGACUCGUCGUCUCUACGGUCGCGGUAACGCGACACAGACCGGAGAAGCUGCCGAAAACCCCGGGAAGAGUUUUCUUUUCUGCUUAAGGGACCGACACCCUGGAAUCCCGUCGCGGGGCGAGAGGGUUGCGGAUACGGCUGUCAAAGGCCAUCCCGAAGAGCGCCGCGUUUCCGCGGCGUCCGUGGUCGUUUUCGGCUGCCCUUGAAAAUCCGGUUGGAGGGCUACGUCAUUGGAUGUUCGCGCUCGUCGUACCGAUAUCCGCAUCAGGUCUCCAAGGUGAACAGCCUCUAGUCGAU
This 743-nucleotide ribosomal RNA is filed under the name Moina affinis. RNAcentral describes it as "eukaryotic LSU rRNA". It matches the Rfam family "Eukaryotic large subunit ribosomal RNA", at positions 1309 to 1891 of the family's 3401-position model. The record is from RNAcentral. Lineage: Eukaryota; Metazoa; Arthropoda; Branchiopoda; Diplostraca; Moinidae.